GUCAGUGUGUCCGAGUGGUUAAGGAGUUAGACUUGAAAUCUAAUGGGCUCUGCCCGCACAGGUUCGAACCCUGUCGCUGACG
RNAcentral lists this transfer RNA (82 nucleotides) under Piptocephalis tieghemiana. RNAcentral describes it as "tRNA-Ser". It matches the Rfam family "tRNA". From Rfam's summary of the family: Transfer RNA (tRNA) molecules are approximately 80 nucleotides in length. Their secondary structure includes four short double-helical elements and three loops (D, anti-codon, and T loops). Further hydrogen bonds mediate the characteristic L-shaped molecular structure. tRNAs have two regions of fundamental functional importance: the anti-codon, which is responsible for specific mRNA codon recognition, and the 3' end, to which the tRNAs corresponding amino acid is attached (by aminoacyl-tRNA synthetases). tRNAs cope with the degeneracy of the genetic code in two manners: having more than one tRNA (with a specific anti-codon) for a particular amino acid; and 'wobble' base-pairing, i.e. permitting non-standard base-pairing at the 3rd anti-codon position. The record is from RNAcentral. Lineage: Eukaryota; Fungi; Zoopagomycota; Zoopagomycetes; Zoopagales; Piptocephalidaceae.